Molecule: non-coding RNA, 114 nt
Organism: Acanthosepion pharaonis
Lineage: Eukaryota; Metazoa; Mollusca; Cephalopoda; Sepiida; Sepiidae
Source: the annotation of a GenBank genome assembly
UUACGGCCACAUCACAUUCAAGCGCAGGUUUCCGUAAGAUCUCCGUAGUUAAGUAACUUCAAACCUAGUCAAUACCUAGAUGGGUGACUUCUUGGGAAUGCCAGAUGCUGUAAG